Molecule: long non-coding RNA, 910 nt
Filed under: Ananas comosus (pineapple)
Lineage: Eukaryota; Viridiplantae; Streptophyta; Magnoliopsida; Poales; Bromeliaceae
Description: long non-coding RNA (ACOM_LNC021592)
Source: RNAcentral
UAAAGUAAAUGUGAAUUAAAUUUUGAUGUUUUUAAUUUAAAACAUAUAUUUAAAUUUGAUUUAUCAAAAAUCAGAAAGUAUAUAAAAAUGUUCGAUGUAUACAAAAAAAAAAACACCGUAGGAUAUUGUAAAUAUUUUCUAAUAAAAUAUAACAUAUUAAUUUACAAAUAUAAUUUUUAUUGUAAAAGUUUAGAUAUAUAUAAUGUACAAAUUUAUAUUGAUUUGAAAUAAAUUAUAGUAAUUAUUACGUGCAUUUGUACGUACAUUAAACUAGUACAUAUACAAAAGAAAAGUUUUUAGCCACACCAUGAAAAAUAUUGCCUACACCAUGACUAUUAAAACAUCACACAAACCAAAUUAAUAUUUUUAAAGGGCAAUUGCUUAUAUACCCCUGAAAAGUUCUCAAAUUUUUCUUAGAAGGCCAGUAUUGAAAAUAUCCUUCUUACGUUCCAACUAUUUCAAAUAUAUCCCUAGAGUUAAAUUCCGUUAUUGAACGGUUAGCAAUAAUUGUUAUUUAUAUGAAAUUACUACUUUUUCCUUUCAAAUAUAUCCUUUCACCGUCACUGACUUUUUCUUAUUUGCCACCAAGUUAGGGGUACAAAAAGUAUUUUGAUUUUUAGCCUUUUUAAAUAUUACAUACCAUUCUAUCAUCACCAACCUUUCUUAUUUGCCCUAAAGUUAAUGACAAAAGAGGUAUUUCGAUUUUCUUAACUCUAGUAGAUAUUUAACUCACGUUUAAUCCAAGUUAAUCCAAGUUAAUUUAGCGGGUGGUAACUAUACGAGUAUUUUAGAAUAACAGAGAAACAUAUGAGGGUGGAGUACAUUGAAAAGAAAAAAAAAUAGAAAUAAAUAAGAUAUUUUUGAAGUUUUGAGGGGCAUAUAGAAAAUUAUUCCUAUUUUUAAAGGAGAG